UACAGGGGGGGCAAGCGUUGUUCGGAAUUACUGGGCGUAAAGGGUUCGUAGGUGGCCAACUUAGUCAGACGUGAAAUCCCUCAGCUUAACUGGGGAACUGCGUCUGAUACUGGAUGGCUUGAGUGCAGGAGAGGAACGCGGAAUUCCAGGUGUAGCGGUGAAAUGCGUAGAUAUCUGGAGGAACACCGGUGUCGAAGGCGGCGUUCUGGACUGCAACUGACACUGAGGAACGAAAGCCAGGGGAGCAAACGGG
RNAcentral lists this ribosomal RNA (253 nucleotides) under uncultured bacterium. RNAcentral describes it as "partial 16S ribosomal RNA". It matches the Rfam family "Bacterial small subunit ribosomal RNA", at positions 524 to 776 of the family's 1533-position model. The record is from RNAcentral.